RNAcentral lists this unclassified non-coding RNA (339 nucleotides) under soil metagenome. Its description in RNAcentral is "partial contains 5.8S ribosomal RNA, internal transcribed spacer 2, and large subunit ribosomal RNA". The stretch from base 1 to 120 matches the Rfam family "5.8S ribosomal RNA", at positions 35 to 154 of the family's 154-position model. The record is from RNAcentral.
GAUGAAGAACGCAGUGAAAUGCGAUAAGUAGUGUGAAUUGCAGAAUUCAGUGAAUCAUCGAAUCUUUGAACGCACAUUGCGCCCCUCGGUAUUCCGUGGGGCAUGCCUGUUCGAGCGUCAUUUAACCCCUCAAGCCUAGCUUGGUAUUGGGUGCUUGUCCCGCCUCUCGCGCGGCGACUCACCUCAAAGUCAUUGGCAGCCCGCAUCUCGCCGGCCGUGAGCGCAGCACAGACGCGCUCUUGGCAACGACGGAUCGGCUCUCCAAAAGCUUAUUUCAACCACUGACCUCGGAUCAGGUAGGGAUACCCGCUGAACUUAAGCAUAUCAAUAAGCGGAGGA